This 2555-nucleotide long non-coding RNA is filed under the name Panax ginseng (ginseng). RNAcentral's name for it is "long non-coding RNA (PGIN_LNC017979)". Lineage: Eukaryota; Viridiplantae; Streptophyta; Magnoliopsida; Apiales; Araliaceae. The record is from RNAcentral.
GAAAGUUUCCUUUGUAAAUAUUAAGCUAAACUCCAGUCAUUUCAUUUCAUUUCAUUUCUUUCUCUGUUUACUGCAAGUCUUUAUAUAAAUCAUAGCCAACAAAGAAAUCACAUAAGACUAGAAGGAAGAAAGGGAAAUUGAAGAUCAUGAAAUAGAAAAAAAAAUAAUGGAAAAAUCAAAGGUAAUUUUUAUAUGGUGAUUAUAUUUUUUUGUAAUUGGAGUGGCAUGUAGAAGAAUUAGUGUAAUUGAUUAUGUUUUGUUUAUAUUUGAUUAAUCUGGACAGAGCAAUGGCUAUGAAAUCUGGGUGAAGUAUGUUGUCAAAGUUUUGAGAUUUGAAUUCUAUAAUUGUGUCCAUAAGAUUAUUUGUUAAAAUGCCCAACACAAAAUACUUUCUAAAUUUAUUGGGAAACAGAAAGAUUAGUUGAUGUGUGUGGUAUCUGAUCUUGUAAUAUGGAAAGGAAUUAUGUUUCUACCUAUUUGGUAUAAGAAAAUAGCAACACAAAAAUAUAUUGUUGGAUGUUGAAUUGAAUUCCCAAAACUCUACCGAAGCAAAUCACUGUUUGGGUUCGAAUUCGAAGUAGCGCGGCCGCGCCACUUCCCAACCCAAGACCAGCGCGGUUGCACUGGUCCCCAAAAAAGGAAAACUUGAUAUUUGUGUUCUAAGCAUGUGUAUUCAAGUGUUAUAUGCUUCCAUAUGUGUCUAAAAGAAUGACCAAGAUAGAUAUGCAUGACUUGAGAUAUCUAAGCUUAGUUAAAAAGGAUUUAAAUGGAAAGCUAAAUAAUUUUGAAAGUAAUAGGAGUCCUAAACUUGAUUUCUAUUAACACUAAUUACACAUGUUAUAUUUAUGAUUGAAAUGUCCUAUAUGGUGUUUGAGUUAGUGAAACAUAAAUCAAACUAAUUAAUCUAAGUUUAAAAAUGAAAAUCAAGUAUAUAUUAUACUAAAUUAUUAUUAAAGAGAGACGCUAGCUUGAUUAGAAUCCUUUAAAGUUCUGGAUUCAUAUAAUCGUACUGAUUGUUGAAUAAACUUUGGAUAGCAAGGAAAAAUCAGGUUGAAGUAAUUCAGUCCUGGGCUAAAUAGGGAGUAGCGCGGCUGCGCCACUCCCUUGCCUAAUAUGCAGCGCGGCCGUGCCACCCCUAAAGAACUACCAAGAUAUUUUAUUUGUUAUCUGCGGUUUAUUACAUACUAGUUUAACUUUCCUAAGCUUCAAUACAUGUCAAGCAUGGUAUAUGGCAUGACCAAACAUAAUUUAGCUGAACUAAGCAAAAUUAAAUAAAGAAAUUCUAAUUAAAAAUAAAUUGUAUUGAAAACAAAAACAAGAUUUUGAAAAAUAAAAUCAAGAACUAUUUAUGCAGGAUAUACGUACUACACAUAUGAAUCAAUAUGUAUAUAGUAUGGCUGAAUGUGUGCAUAAAUUACCUGAUUGUAGUAUGUUAUACGUGAACAUAACUAAUGUGUACUUGCUAUAUACUUGGAACAAAUGAGUUUGUUAUACAUGACUAAUGGAUACCUAUUUGUAAGAUAUUCAAAGUAGAAUUAAGCGGUAAUCGUAAACUACGCUCAAGGCAAGUAUCUGAACUUUACUUCUUUAUUUAGCAAGUAUCUCUAAUUAAUCUAUGAACUUUCUUUAUGCAAGAGGUUUAUUAUUUCACGAGAAUCUCAAACUUAUUUACAUCUGAGCAAGUAAAUUAUAUUUGUAUGCUUGUGCAAGUUCUCUAACUUGUAUAAUUUGACAUUGGUAUGCAAAUUUCUUUAUUACUUCAAGUUCUAAAAUUUUUGAAUUAUUACGAAUGAGUCUAAGCUAAUUGUUUCAGCUAGAUUCACGUUACAAUAUUUUAUCACAAGUCUUUAUCAUCUUGUUGAAAUAGGUAGAGUCGUCCGACCAAAUUGCUUUGGUUUAGAACUCAAGUCUGAGUAUGAACAUCCCUUAUUUGAGAAAUUUUUAUUGUGCCAAUAAGGCAAUGAAAACAAGCAUGUAGUGUUGAUCAACGUAGGACAUAAAACAUGUAGUGCCCGAGAGUUAAUUGGUUGUACAGUUGAAUUACUGUUACACCUAUUUUUAGAAUUAAAAAAAACAAAGUUCAUGGUUAACUGACCGCUCGACAUCUAGAGUUAAUACAUUGUUUCAAAAAUAUAAGCGACUUGAUAUGUCAUUCAAAAAAUUGUUUCAAUAACUUCACAACAGUUUAUCCGUUGUAGAAGUAUACUCAAAGAAAACAUUUAACACUUUUAUACAUCGUUUAUUGCAUAACUUGCUGAGCAAUUGAAUGCUCAUUCUUGCUUUGAAAUUAAAUGUUUUCAGUGAAACGUGAAAGCAUAGAAGGAUAUGGCGAAAGACAAGGGAAGAUGGAAGGUGGAUGAGUAGUUGAGGACGGUUGUUUGUAUUAACCAAGUGUUUUGUAAUAAUAAUACAAUACCUAUCAUGUAAGAAUGUAAUUAAAGGUCAUCGUACCUGAGAUUGCGAGACUGAUGUAAUAUUUUUAAUUAUUAAUAUAUUAAGCAAGUUAUAUGAAUGUUAUCGUGUAGCACCAAAUACUGGUUUCAAGUACUCGGAUU